This 235-nucleotide long non-coding RNA is filed under the name Elaeis guineensis (African oil palm). RNAcentral's name for it is "long non-coding RNA (EGUI_LNC000110)". Lineage: Eukaryota; Viridiplantae; Streptophyta; Magnoliopsida; Arecales; Arecaceae. The record is from RNAcentral.
CUAUGUGAAGCUUCUAAAUAUAAAAAUUUAAAAUAAAUAAAUAAAUUUAUUAAUACUACUUGACUUACCUGCUAUGAUGGCUGUGACAAUGAGCUCAACUGAUCGUAUAGAUGUGGAUCUCGAAGAAUCUUAAUCACCGUAUCGCGGAUGGCAUCCCAAAAGCUCAGAGGUCAUUGAUGAAAAAGCCUCUGCACGACUUCCUCAACAUGUGUAUCACUCCAUAUCUGGAUCGUCG